CCUACGGGUGGCUGCAGUGGGGAAUAUUGGACAAUGGGCGCAAGCCUGAUCCAGCCAUGCCGCGUGGGGGAUGAAGGCCUUCGGGUCGUAAACCCCUUUUCUGAGAGAAGAACAUCCCGGAUAGGAAAUGAUCCGGGCUUGACGGUAUCUCAGGAAUAAGCAACGGCUAACUCCGUGCCAGCAGCCGCGGUAAUACGGAGGUUGCAAGCGUUGUUCGGAAUUACUGGGCGUAAAGGGAGCGCAGGCGGCCAGGUAAGUCUGAAGUGAAAUCCCGGGGCUCAACCCCGGAAGUGCUUUGGAUACUGCCCGGCUUGAGUGUGUGAUAGGAGAGCGGAAUUCCAGGUGUAGCGGUGAAAUGCGUAGAUAUCUGGAGGAACACCCGUGGCGAAAGCGGCUCUCUGGCACAACACUGACGCUGAGGCUCGAAAGCGUGGGGAGCGAACGGGAUUAGAUACCCCUGUAGUC
RNAcentral lists this ribosomal RNA (465 nucleotides) under uncultured bacterium. Its description in RNAcentral is "bacterial SSU rRNA". It matches the Rfam family "Bacterial small subunit ribosomal RNA", at positions 338 to 795 of the family's 1533-position model. The record is from RNAcentral.